GUGCCAGCCGCCGCGGUAAUACGUAGGUGGCAAGCGUUGUCCGGAUUUAUUGGGCGUAAAGCGAGCGCAGGCGGUUUCUUAAGUCUGAUGUGAAAGCCUUCGGCUCAACCGAAGAAGUGCAUCGGAAACUGGGAAACUUGAGUGCAGAAGAGGACAGUGGAACUCCAUGUGUAGCGGUGAAAUGCGUAGAUAUAUGGAAGAACACCAGUGGCGAAGGCGGCUGUCUGGUCUGUAACUGACGCUGAGGGCUCGAAAGCAUGGGUAGCAAACAGGAUUAGAUACCCUGGUAGUCCAUGCCGUAAACGAUGAGUGCUAGGUGUUGGAGGGUUUCCGCCCUUCAGUGCCGCAGCUAACGCAUUAAGCACUCCGCCUGGGGAGUACGACCGCAAGGUUGAAACUCAAAGGAAUUGACGGGGCCCGCACAAGCGGUGGAGCAUGUGGUUUAAUUCGAAGCAACGCGAAGAACCUUACCAGGUCUUGACAUCCUUUGACCACUCUAGAGAUAGAGCUUUCCCUUCGGGGACAAAGUGACAGGUGGUGCAUGGUUGUCGUCAGCUCGUGUCGUGAGAUGUUGGGUUAAGUCCCGCAACGAGCGCAACCCUUAUUACUAGUUGCCAGCAUUUAGUUGGGCACUCUAGUGAGACUGCCGGUGACAAACCGGAGGAAGGUGGGGACGACGUCAAAUCAUCAUGCCCCUUAUGACCUGGGCUACACACGUGCUACAAUGGAUGGUACAACGAGUUGCGAGACCGCGAGGUUUAGCUAAUCUCUUAAAACCAUUCUCAGUUCGGAUUGUAGGCUGCAACUCGCCUACAUGAAGCCGGAAUCGCUAGUAAUCGCGGAUCAGCAUGCCGCGGUGAAUACGUUCCCGGGCCUUGUACACACCGCCCGU
Molecule: ribosomal RNA, 892 nt
Filed under: uncultured bacterium
Lineage: Bacteria
Description: bacterial SSU rRNA
Rfam family: Bacterial small subunit ribosomal RNA
Source: RNAcentral